RNAcentral lists this long non-coding RNA (1294 nucleotides) under Salvia miltiorrhiza (redroot sage). RNAcentral's name for it is "long non-coding RNA (SMIL_LNC013760)". Lineage: Eukaryota; Viridiplantae; Streptophyta; Magnoliopsida; Lamiales; Lamiaceae. The record is from RNAcentral.
AGAAUUUAACUACUCAUAAUUAAACCUAAAUCAAUCAAACAAAUUGAAGAUGAACAUUAAACAAGAAAAUAAAUUGCAAUUAAAUAAAAUAACCACGGUUAAAAACCAAGUAAAAGAAAUCGUCUGUGAGUCGUCUUGAUUCCAGCCGCCAAUGUUUACUGAUCGAAAGUAAUAUCAAUUCCACAACUAAUCUCCUAUCUCCCAUCUCCAAAAGCUCCAGUCGCCAAAGUCUCGUCCCCCCUUUAAAUAAAACUACUCCAUCAUCCUUAUACCUAGCCUAGUCGUCAUUUUUAGUUUAUGGGCCAAGAAAAUAAAAUAAUAUUAUAACUCUUAGCCCACAAACUAAUGACAUUCAUGGCUAAUUAAAUUAAAGAAGUAAUUCUAUCAAUUUAGAAUAAUGACUAUCUUUCUUGCCUAAAUAAAUUCCUCAUCGGCAUGCAUCUUCUGAAAUCUUUCAAAUAAUUCUAUUAAAAUUGCCUUUUUCGACUUGCUUCUAUUCGACUCCAUCAACAUUAUUCCUGCACCAAAAAUCACCUCAAUGUGUAUAUUAAAUUCAAUUAAAGCAUAAAUAAUCCAAGAAUAUGAACAAUUAAAAUACACACAUCAAACAUCAUCACACUUGAAUCAUGUUUGCCUUCAAGUAUGAAGUGAAGACUAAACUCAAUUCUCAAUCAUUAUUAUUCAUACAUCUUAAUUCCCUCAAGACACGACACAAAAGACUCAACUAAAAGAAGAAAAAUAAAAGAAGACGUACACGACAAACACGACACACAAAACAACCAAGUAAAACCAAAUAAUAUUUGUUCACAAACUUCCCCUGCCAAAGUAAAAUCAUGCAACUCACGAGGUAAUUCUCAACUAUCAAAUAGCAAUUUGAAAUCAUCAAAAAUGGAUCAUUAUCAUCAACUUGAUCAAAAUCGGGCAAAAAUCAAAUAUAUAUCACGGUUUUCGCUCAUUCACUCCCUACACUAAUUUCGGACAGCCACACAUAGACAUGAUUCACGCGAUCACGAUAUAUAGUGGUCACUUUGUAACUCAAGAAGGUUUUUUUAUCAUUUGGCGUAAUGGGGCUAGGGACCAUUCAUAAAUUUGGAAGGAUCUAAAUGGGGUACCUAGGCUUCAGAAAAUAAGAACAAAAUAUCAUGCAUGUUCAAACCGAAUCAUCAUCCAUAUACAAUAAGCAUCUGAGGAAAUCACUGACUCAUCCUUGGAUGAACAAAAAAAUAUCAUGUAUCAGACUGUAUGUAUGCUCAACUCAACUUAGAUGCAUUUUUUUUCCUUGCUCUUUUUUUUU